GAUGAACGCUGACAGAAUGCUUAACACAUGCAAGUCUUUGGUGAAGCUGUGCUUGCACAGCCUAGCCAAGGCGGACGGGUGAGUAACGCGUCAGGAACUUGCCCUGCAGUCAGGGAUAACAGACGGAAACGACUGAUAAGACCUGGUAAAGUCAGGCGGACUCAUGUCCAGCCUGAUGAAAAGAGAUGCUGCAGGAGAGCCUUGCGUCAUAUUAUCUUGUUGGUGGGGUAACGGCCCACCAAGGCAAUGAUAGGUAGCCGGCCUGAGAGGGUGGACGGCCACAAGGGGACUGAGAUACGGCCCUUACUCCUACGGGAGGCAGCAGUGGAGAAUAUUGGACAAUGGGGGCAACCCUGAUCCAGCAGUUCUGUGUGGACGAUGAAGGUUUUCGGAGUGUAAAGUGCUUUCAGCAGGGGAGAAAAAAAUGACGGUAACUGCAGAAGAAGCGACGGCUAAAUACGUG
Molecule: ribosomal RNA, 463 nt
Filed under: uncultured bacterium
Lineage: Bacteria
Description: partial 16S ribosomal RNA
Rfam family: Bacterial small subunit ribosomal RNA
Source: RNAcentral